CAGUAGCCGCGGUAAUACGGAGGAUCCAAGCGUUAUCCGGAAUCAUUGGGUUUAAAGGGUCCGUAGGCGGUCUUGUAAGUCAGUGGUUAAAGCCCAUCGCUCAACGGUGGAACGGCCAUUGAUACUGCAGGACUUGAAUUAUUGGGAAGUAACUAGAAUAUGUAGUGUAGCGGUGAAAUGCUUAGAGAUUACAUGGAAUACCAAUUGCGAAGGCAGGUUACUACCAAUUGAUUGACGCUGAUGGACGAAAGCGUGGGUAGCGAACAGGAUUAGAUACCCCAGUAGUCCCUGUCUCUUAUAC
This 301-nucleotide ribosomal RNA is filed under the name uncultured bacterium. RNAcentral's name for it is "partial 16S ribosomal RNA". It matches the Rfam family "Bacterial small subunit ribosomal RNA", at positions 509 to 807 of the family's 1533-position model. The record is from RNAcentral.